CUUCACUAACUUGACCGGUACCGGUAGGGUACGCGUCUUACCGCCAUUUUGUUUGAAAGAGUGAUUUUAAAAACGGAGGGCAACUAAUGUAAUGGUCUGGUGAUAAAACGCAUUAAAAUAUUAAUUGACCAUCCAAAAAGCAUCGUCCACGAUGUCACGCUAUGGUGACUGCAAAGUUUAUGUUGGAGAUUUGGGGAAUAAUGCUAGUAAACCUGAACUUGAAGAUGCCUUUUCAUAUUAUGGUCCACUGAGGAAUGUGUGGGUUGCAAGAAAUCCUCCAGGCUUCGCAUUUGUUGAAUUCGAAGAUCCACGGGAUGCUGAAGACGCAGUACGUGGUUUGGAUGGACGGACGAUUUGCGGUCGUAGAGCCCGUGUAGAAAUGUCUAAUGGGGGUCGCGGUUAUGGCAGCCGGGGUCCACCACCUCGUUCGCGUCUGCCUCCUCGGCCGUAUGAUGAUCGUUGUUACGACUGCGGCGACAGAGGACACUACGCUCGUGACUGUUCACGUCGUCGGCGACGCAGGUUAUCAUUGGGUUGUGCGCCGAGAACGAACUCGUCAGUGUCUGCACUUCUUAUUAUCUGCGCUACGUAGCUUUCACUUCUCUGCGUGUACUCCGAAUGAGUUGGCCCCAACUGUAACUUCGCUCUGUGAACUACGUAGCUACAUCCUACGUGCACACUUCACUUGUCGACAACUUCAUUGAGUUUGUUCAUACUGCGAGUAGCGACGCACGUCUAAUGUAAUCACUGCGUAUACUCAUCGUUCGAGGUCCCGCAGGCGUAGCCGAUCCCGCUCUCCAAGGUCUGGAUCUCGAUCCCGCAGCCGCUCUCGCUCACGCUCUCGUUCCCGUUCGAAGGCACGUUCUAUGUC
This is an unclassified non-coding RNA of Bombyx mandarina (wild silkworm), 871 nucleotides long. NCBI's taxonomy places the organism in Eukaryota, Metazoa, Arthropoda, Insecta, Lepidoptera, Bombycidae. The record is from RefSeq and is a predicted model, not a curated record.